This is a long non-coding RNA of Strongylocentrotus purpuratus (purple sea urchin), 826 nucleotides long. RefSeq lists it as uncharacterized. NCBI's taxonomy places the organism in Eukaryota, Metazoa, Echinodermata, Echinoidea, Camarodonta, Strongylocentrotidae. The transcript is spliced from 2 exons. The record is from RefSeq and is a predicted model, not a curated record.
AAAUUCAAGUUAAAAAGUGAUUUAGUCUACAGUUCACGAAAUUCCAAACCCUUGAUACGCCAUGUAACGUUACCAACCAAAACAUGAAUUUAUUUUUCUGGAGAGAAAAUCUGGGGGCUAUUAAUUGUCAUAUUUCAAAUUUUCCUUUCCUAUACAAUGCUCUAUUGAAGUAAAGGAACCAGAAUUACAAAUAUUCUAUGAUGUAGAAAAUAUUAGCAGUCAAAAUCUGUAACGUUACCAACCAUGUAACGUUACCAACCAGGCUUAAGGAUUGUAACGUUACCAACCAUGAUAUUAGUGCCAGGAGAUACUUAUUUGUAAGCCUUAAUCAGAAGAAAGUGAAGUGAUUCUUUAACUAAGACAAGAGAUGGCAGUAUAGAACAUUUAUUAAAGGCAUGUGACAGCCAUGUGACAACCAUUUAAGCAGCAUCAUAUCUGUGUAGAAUCCAUGCAGCAUCACAUUUGGGAAGAGUCAAAUCAUCUUUACUGUAUUAAAACUCUUCUUGAAUCUUUCUCCAUGAAAGCAGUUCUAAUUAGCAAAACUUGUUGAAUCUCAAUCUACUGUCACCCAGUGUCAGCAUCUGGUCAUCAUGCCCAAGUUUACGAAGAAAGAGAAACAAAGGCACUACAUAGAAAAGAUGAAGAGGAUGGGGAAGUAUGAAGAAUACUUGAAGAAAAAAGCAGCAGCCAUGAAGAGGUGCCGGGAGAAGCAAAAGCUGAGAGAGAGGACCUUGCCAAAAUAUGCGAGAAAACAACUGGAAAGGGAGACGAAAGAAGCAACAAAGAAACGAGUAGCAAAGCACAGGAAAUUGAAGAAAGAAAGAAA